CGGAGAUCGGAGCUCCUUGUCUCCACCUUCGAGUUGGCAACCUGAGACCGGUAGCAACCUGUUCGUCCCGGAUUUUUCCAUGACGUCACUAAAUCAGGUUCGGACGUGCAGAUCAGGUACAUACCUGUACCAAAACCUGGCUAUAAAACGUAGCGCGGACCGGGUCGACCAGUCAGUGCCUUCCUUCCUGCGUUCGUGUGUGCGUCUCAGUGCUCUGCGACUUUGUGACCCCAGUGCCUUUUUGGAAAUUCCCAAGUGGUUCAUCGUGUGUGUACCUUAUCACUUACGGACUGUGAAUCGCUCCCUAUUCUAUUUCGGAUCUGUGUGCUUGUUUUCUGCUAGUGUUGUGCAGUUUUACCCAGGAUACAAACCUAGUGGGAUUUUUUCCUUUACGGACGCUUGUCGCAUUGACGACUUUUCCUUGGAUUUUGCGGAGACCCGACUAGGCGAAUCAAUCCAUUCAUCCAUCCAUCCUCCGGUCCCUGUGGAAUUUUUCUUGGAAAAUCAACCUUUGGAAUAAGUAAGUAAACAAACACAUUUUUAUUUAAUAAAAAUAUUUAAUCAUUUUAAAAAUAAUAAAAAAAAUACACGUUAAUUUAAAAAAUAAUAAAAAAAUACACGUUAAUUUACAGAUACAGAAAAAUAAAAAAUAAAAAAUAAAAAUUUCUCUCUAAUUUAAAGCUGCCACAGCUAUUUGGCUAUCGCAUGGCGUCAUUUUCAGAUGAUUCAUCUGAUGACAAUGAGAAAUCUGAUAUGACCAUGGGUGGAGAAGCGUGGUCGUCUGGUCCUAUUUCGAUAAUUUCCUCAUCCGUGGAGUCGUCGAUUGGAAUGUCCCUGUACGGGACAGGUGGAAGCCCGAGGUAAUGUCCGAUUGUGCUUCGAAGCGAUCCGAUUAAAGCAUCAUAUAAACGUCUGAAUAGACGUCUGAUCAGAUUAUGGUAUAAACGAUCGUACAACCUUUUUUCUAGUCUGGAAAUAGAGAGAAAGGAAAAAUCGUUAUGCCAGAGCUUUC
This 1012-nucleotide long non-coding RNA is filed under the name Bemisia tabaci. Its description in RNAcentral is "lncRNA ENSASIAIIG006468". The record is from RNAcentral. Lineage: Eukaryota; Metazoa; Arthropoda; Insecta; Hemiptera; Aleyrodidae.